GACGAACGCUGGCGGCGUGCCUAAUACAUGCCAGUAGAACGCACAGUUUAUACCGUAGCUUGCUACACCAUAACCUGUGAGUUGCGAACGGGUGAGUAACGCGUAGGUAACCUGCCUGGUAGCGGGGGAUAACUAUUGGAAACGAUAGCUAAUACCGCAUAAUAUUGAUUAUUGCAUGAUAAUUGAUUUAAAGAUGCUAUUGCAUCACUACCAGAUGUUCCUGCGUUGUAUUAGCUAGUAGGUGAGGUAACGGCUCACCUAGGCGACGAUACAUAGCCGAACGGAGAGGGGGAUAGGCCACACUGGGACGGAGACACGGCCAAGACUACUAAGGGAGGCAGCAGAAGGGAAUCGUCGGCAAUGGACGAAAGUAUGACAGAGCAACGCCGCGUGAGUGAAGAAGGUUUUCGGAUCGUAAAGAUCUGUUGUAAGAGAAGAACGGGUGUGAGAGUGGAAAGUGCACACUGUGACGGUAGCUUACCAGAAAGGGACGGCUAACUACGUG
This 505-nucleotide ribosomal RNA is filed under the name uncultured bacterium. Its description in RNAcentral is "partial 16S ribosomal RNA". It matches the Rfam family "Bacterial small subunit ribosomal RNA", at positions 28 to 507 of the family's 1533-position model. The record is from RNAcentral.